Lingula anatina is the source of this 536-nucleotide long non-coding RNA. The record is from RefSeq and is a predicted model, not a curated record. NCBI's taxonomy places the organism in Eukaryota, Metazoa, Brachiopoda, Lingulata, Lingulida, Lingulidae.
CACGAGCUCACGUGACUUAAUGUUGUCUCUUCCAUCUUUCAAAGGAUCGACUGAGUGAGAGUUUUGCUGGACGAAAGUUUUUCAACUUUUUACCACUUUUCGACGAGUUUUCGAGCUGCAUUCCUGUCAAGAUGGAUAUAACAACGUUCGAGGAUUAUACUUAAGAGUUCUACUCACAUACAUAAGUCUUUAUUAGUAAUUGUUGCGCCUUGGAAGCAAGGAGACGAAAGAUAAGAGAACAACACUCAACAGCUGACCAAGUGAACCACGUUGGAUUUCACCGGAUUUUAUACUUUCCUGCGCCUCGAUAACUUCGAUUUUAAAACAUGGAUAAUAUAGAAAAAGACUGCAGCGCCCUAGGGGGACUGUUCCAGACGAUAAUAAACGAUAUGAAGAACAGUAACCCAGUUUGGGAAGACUUUGCUGCAAAGGCCAUCAAACUCAACACAGUGCUAAGAACUACAAUUCUCGCAGCAGGAGCUUUUUUAGAAGCUUUCCAAAAAGUCGCUGACAUUGCGACAAACUCUAGAGGUAAG